This 291-nucleotide ribosomal RNA is filed under the name Rhizopus arrhizus. Its description in RNAcentral is "Rhizopus oryzae partial large subunit ribosomal RNA". Lineage: Eukaryota; Fungi; Mucoromycota; Mucoromycetes; Mucorales; Rhizopodaceae. The record is from RNAcentral.
CCCCCCACAAUGMCCUGUCUGYAGCAUCUAGGCUUCGAGCCUGGWGCACUUGCAGGCUAUGCWGCAACGAAAUUUGACUUGAGGGAAAAACUAAGGGAAUGUGUCCCACUUGUGGGUGUUAUAGUCCCUUAGAAAUACCUUGGGUUGGAUGAGGACGCAGCGAUGCUUUUUGGCGAGUUUUCCAGGAAGUUUUCUGAGUACUACGGUAUCAAGGUUGACUUUUUGGUUAUACUUCUAUUCGCUUAGUUGUUGGUUAUGACUCUAAUGACCCGUCUUGAACAGGACAGGAUC